GACGAACGCUGGCGGCGUGCUUAACACAUGCAAGUCGAACGGUCGGCACUGGAAGGUUCGCUGGAAGGUGCCGGUAGUGGCGGACGGGUGAGUAACGCGUGAGGACAUGGCUCCAGGAGGGGGAUAACGUUUGGAAACGGACGCUAAGACCCCAUAUGCCGGAAGGUGAAACUGGUGCAAGCCAGCCUGGAGAGUGACUCGCGUCCUAUCAGCUAGUUGGUGGGGUGAAGGCCUACCAAGGCGAUGACGGGUAGCCGACCUGAGAGGGUGGCCGGCCACACUGGAACUGAGAUACGGUCCAGACUCCUACGGGAGGCAGCAGUGGGGAAUAUUGGGCAAUGGGCGCAAGCCUGACCCAGCGACGCCGCGUGGGGGAAGAAGUCUUUCGGGAUGUAAACCCUUGUUGUACGGGACGAAACGAAUGACGGUACCGUACGAGGAAGCCCCGGCAAAACUACGUGCCAGCAGCCGCGGUAAACUGUCUACG
RNAcentral lists this ribosomal RNA (487 nucleotides) under uncultured bacterium. RNAcentral's name for it is "bacterial SSU rRNA". It matches the Rfam family "Bacterial small subunit ribosomal RNA", at positions 28 to 531 of the family's 1533-position model. The record is from RNAcentral.